Amphiprion ocellaris (clown anemonefish) is the source of this 271-nucleotide long non-coding RNA. RefSeq lists it as uncharacterized. The record is from RefSeq and is a predicted model, not a curated record. The transcript has 4 exons. Lineage: Eukaryota; Metazoa; Chordata; Actinopteri; Pomacentridae.
GCCGACUGUGAUGUGUUAAUGUCGGUUGCUAUUCGGGUAAUGUCUUGCAUGUAUGACCAGUUCUACACAGUAAUAUGUGCUUAUUUAACUCAUACCUUCUGUGCUGGGGACUUUACUGCUCAAUGCAGGGGCUGUGCUGAAUUUCAGGCUUAAAAGGAAGGAGUCACAGGGGUUUGGAGAUGAGUCCAGAGCACCAACAACAGUCUGCGCAGGUUGUUUGGAUCAUGAUCAGCGUUUGCAGUGACUGGACUUCCACCAGGAUGCUCACUUU